Long non-coding RNA from Branchiostoma floridae (Florida lancelet), 409 nucleotides. RefSeq lists it as uncharacterized. NCBI's taxonomy places the organism in Eukaryota, Metazoa, Chordata, Leptocardii, Amphioxiformes, Branchiostomatidae. The record is from RefSeq and is a predicted model, not a curated record. The transcript has 3 exons.
CGAGAGCAUGGUCUUGUCAUUGACGGUCCACUGUUCAUCCAAAUAAGACCGUAGCCCUUUCUUUCCACGGGCUGGCACCGUAGGCUGGAAUGUCUGUCCUCGGCAAGGGAAGCGAGGGUAUGGGGGAAGGGAGAAUGACAAAGUCACCGUAACGUUCUUCACCACCGAAUGUCCGAGGAGAUGUCAGGAGAAUCUCCGGCCUCAUCUGCAAGAAUACCCCGGCGUUUUAAACGCUACCGGAAUCGCACCGAACGCUAGCGCUGGAACGUCUGGAAGCGACAAGAGAGACUAGACAAGGACUCCUGGUCCUCGUCGCAACGGGUGCUUCGAAAAGUUCGGGAGACCUCACGGGACUCUCCGGCGCAUCUUGAGAAGACCCGCGUUGUUCAAAACGGAAUGUCUGGACGUG